Molecule: long non-coding RNA, 1447 nt
Organism: Drosophila pseudoobscura
Lineage: Eukaryota; Metazoa; Arthropoda; Insecta; Diptera; Drosophilidae
Exons: 3
Source: RefSeq, a predicted model, not a curated record
GGCUGUUCUGAGCUGCGUUUUACGUGACAAACACCAGGCCCGAGGAGAUUUGCUUUCAGAAGAAGCCCAAAUGACAGCAACUAAUGCGAUCACAGUGGUUGUCUCGCUCUGGCACACACACUCGCUCGGACACGCACACUCGCACAGCACAGCACAGCUGCAAGUGUGAGUUGGAAUGUUGAUUUCAUGAAAUUUUAAAAAUGGUCGAAUCGUAUAUCAUUAUCAGCGCCGCCCAGUAACUGUAGUGGAAAAUCUGGCAAGAAAUAUGUGGCCGCACGCUUUUCACACCACCAUUGCACUUACUUUAAUUGGAUUUUCGGCGUUGCACUAUGUAUUUCCGUCGAGUUUCUGCACCACUUCACACGCGCUUUAUUUACUUUUUUAUUGUAUUGUACUACUCCUUUGCUGGAACAUACGCACGCACAAAUGAAUCAGAUUGUAGUUAAGAGUCUAAGUAAUAUAUAGUAUUGCUUGCUAGUUAUUUGAGCAGUAUUUCCAAAGGCCACUGAAAUGCACUGUCGUUAAAUGUUUGAUUUAUUGUUAAUUUUCCAUAAGUUAACAAAUUUUUACAAAUCCGUCAGAUUCUUAACAAAAAUGGACGACGAUGCGUGCGUGACGAAGAUGCAGUGUGACCGCGGACUUAUCGAUACAAUGUACGGUCUGACCCUCAGAAAUAUACCGGAAUUUACGUCACGAAUUUCAAAAUAUACAGUAAAUACAGUGGCGAAUUAUUUGUGUACAAGAUCCAUCAUAUUCCUGGUUUUCGAUACCUACAUUUUUAUGUAAUUAUUAAAAACAACAACUGAAGUGGAAAUGUUCACGUUUCAAAAAUUUGUGUCGGUUUUUUUUUAAAGCCCCAUGGAGGCGCCAGUGUGGAAAACGUCCGUUAUCAACUUUUUGACAUAUUGAACAAUUUUUUUUUUUUAAUUUUGAUUUUUUUGGCAGACGAUCAGGAAUUCGAGUGGAUCACCAAAUAUUAUUGUGGCCUAAACGUCAUUUCUCCACGAUUUCUACAUUGGUGAAUUGCACAAGUAGGUGAGGCUAUAACUGGUCUUAAAAUAUACUGGAAAAUAUUAGGAAAUUUGCAAGGUCCAUCGUAUCCUUCAUCUGUGCAUAAAGAAAAGACCACAAUAUUACAAUUUAGUACCUUAAUUACUGUAUUUGGAUCAACAUAUGAUGAUGAUUGGAACUGCAUUUCCCAACCACUGAAAAUGUGAACCCACCGGGAAAUGUACGUGAUGUUCAUAUUUACUGUAACAGAUUCAGAAUGUUAUUCGGCGUAAAUUGGCCCUGGAUGGUAUACCAUUCAGGCUGAGCCACUUUAAUAGCCGAAAGCUGAAGACAUUUGGACAGUCCCUAUUGUGCAGAUGCCGCAACUAUUGUAUUGAUAAGUUAGUUUUAAUUUGUAUUUGAUAUACACCACAAAUAAUAUAUCCGUACGAACUUA